CCUGGAUUCAAAUCUUGCACUCUGCCACAUAUCAGGGGCUUCUUGACUACCCUCUCAUCAGUGGAUAUGAAAAGAAGACAAUGGAGACCAAGUAGAGGAUUUCUUCAGACACAGAUGAGGUCUUUGGAUGUUUCCAGAGCCCUGUGGGAAGGCAGAAGGAGGCCAAAGGGAUGACCCUCAUCCUACUGAGGAUUCCUGAAAGCAGA
Molecule: long non-coding RNA, 206 nt
Filed under: Monodelphis domestica (gray short-tailed opossum)
Lineage: Eukaryota; Metazoa; Chordata; Mammalia; Didelphimorphia; Didelphidae
Description: lncRNA (ENSMODG00000044871.1)
Source: RNAcentral